UUCUUGGUGGUCCAGUGGCUAAGACUCUGGGCCUCCAACGCAGGGGGCCCAGGUUCAAUCCCUGGUCAGGGAA
RNAcentral lists this transfer RNA (73 nucleotides) under Bos taurus (domestic cattle). It matches the Rfam family "tRNA". Rfam says of the family: Transfer RNA (tRNA) molecules are approximately 80 nucleotides in length. Their secondary structure includes four short double-helical elements and three loops (D, anti-codon, and T loops). The record is from Rfam by way of RNAcentral. RNAcentral also lists the same sequence under 3 other names. Lineage: Eukaryota; Metazoa; Chordata; Mammalia; Artiodactyla; Bovidae.